ACGACCUUACUUGAACAGGAUCUGUUCUAUAGGCUCGUACCACUGUAUCCUUGAGUUCUAAGGAGACAGAAAACCAAGUCUGGUUGAUGAGGCAUGCCCAAUAGACAAGAGCAAAAUAGUCCAUUUUGGACUAUCGGAUUAGAAUUAGAACUAUCAGAUUGGAUUGCUUCUUACCAUUUUGGACAAUUAUGUCUUUGUCGACAUUUUCCCACAGAUU
This 217-nucleotide small nucleolar RNA is filed under the name Nicotiana sylvestris (wood tobacco). RNAcentral describes it as "Plant small nucleolar RNA U3". It matches the Rfam family "Plant small nucleolar RNA U3". From Rfam's summary of the family: Small nucleolar RNAs (snoRNAs) are involved in the processing and modification of rRNA in the nucleolus. The record is from Rfam by way of RNAcentral. Lineage: Eukaryota; Viridiplantae; Streptophyta; Magnoliopsida; Solanales; Solanaceae.